Molecule: transfer RNA, 67 nt
Filed under: Marmota monax (woodchuck)
Lineage: Eukaryota; Metazoa; Chordata; Mammalia; Rodentia; Sciuridae
Description: tRNA.Ala
Source: RNAcentral
GGUUAUGGCUCAGCGGUAGAGCGCUUGACUCGCGCGUGCAAGACCCUGGGUUCAAUCCUCAGCACCA